This 147-nucleotide small RNA is filed under the name Aspergillus ustus. RNAcentral's name for it is "A. fumigatus sRNA Afu_254". It matches the Rfam family "A. fumigatus sRNA Afu_254". Lineage: Eukaryota; Fungi; Ascomycota; Eurotiomycetes; Eurotiales; Aspergillaceae. The record is from Rfam by way of RNAcentral.
CCACUCAGCCAAACAAACAACUAUCUACUUCCGGUUUAAUACCAACCCAUCACAGAACAUCACCAUGUCUCCCUGCACCUGCAACUGCUGCUCUGGCGAGUGCAACUCCUGCGCUUGCAGCAGCUGCACCGUACGUUGCCCAUUCCU